This 45-nucleotide non-coding RNA is filed under the name Schistosoma margrebowiei. Lineage: Eukaryota; Metazoa; Platyhelminthes; Trematoda; Strigeidida; Schistosomatidae. The record is from RNAcentral.
AUCCAGCUGACGAGUUCCAGAUGCGACGAAAUGCGCGUCUUGGAU